GACGAACGCUGGCGGCGUGCUUAACACAUGCAAGUCGAACGCUGAAGCUCAGCUUGCUGGGUGGAUGAGUGGCGAACGGGUGAGUAACACGUGAGUAACCUGCCCUCUUCUUUGGGAUAACGCCCGGAAACGGGUGCUAAUACUGGAUAUUCACUGAUUCUCGCAUGGGGGUUGGUGGAAAGGUUUUUUCUGGUGGGGGAUGGGCUCGCGGCCUAUCAGCUUGUUGGUGGGGUGAUGGCCUACCAAGGCUUUGACGGGUAGCCGGCCUGAGAGGGUGACCGGUCACAUUGGGACGGAGAUACGGCCCAGACUCCUACGGGAGGCAGCAGUGGGGAAUAUUGCACAAUGGGCGAAAGCCUGAUGCAGCGACGCCGCGUGAGGGAUGGAGGCCUUCGGGUUGUAAACCUCUUUCGCUCAUGGUCAAGCCGCAGCUUUGGGUUGUGGUGAGGGUAGUGGGUAAAGAAGCGCCGGCUAACUACGUG
Molecule: ribosomal RNA, 482 nt
Filed under: uncultured bacterium
Lineage: Bacteria
Description: partial 16S ribosomal RNA
Rfam family: Bacterial small subunit ribosomal RNA
Source: RNAcentral